GUGGGGAAUCUUGCGCAAUGGCCGAAAGCCUGACGCAGCCAUGCCGCGUGCAUGAUGAAGGUCUUAGGAUUGUAAAAUUCUUUCACCGGGGACGAUAAUGACGGUACCCGGAGAAGAAGCUCCGGCUAACUUCGUGCCAGCAGCCGCGGUAAUACGUAGGGGGCUACAGUUGCUCGGCAUUACUGGGCCUAAAGGGCGCGUAGGCGGACAGCUUAGGCAGUGGUGCAAGCCCAGGCCUCAACCUUGGAAGUGCCUUUGAUACUGGCUGUGUUGAGUUUGGGAUGGGUCAGUGGAACUCCGAGUGUAGAGGUGAAAUUCGUAGAUAUUCGGAAAAACACCACUGGCGAAGGCGACUCACUGGCCCAAUACUGACGCUGAGGCGCGAAAGCAUGGGGAGCAAACAGGAUUAGAUACCCGAGUAGUCC
Molecule: ribosomal RNA, 425 nt
Filed under: uncultured bacterium
Lineage: Bacteria
Description: partial 16S ribosomal RNA
Rfam family: Bacterial small subunit ribosomal RNA
Source: RNAcentral